AAAUAAGAAGUAAAAUUUACAUUUAGUUUCGACCUAAAAAUUUGGCAAUUAUAUGCCCUUAUUUA
This 65-nucleotide transfer RNA is filed under the name Hydrocolus stagnalis. Its description in RNAcentral is "tRNA-Arg". The record is from RNAcentral. Lineage: Eukaryota; Metazoa; Arthropoda; Insecta; Coleoptera; Dytiscidae.